ACAAAGCAAUGCAAACGGUAUGGCCAAGUGUUGAUGGUUAGCUGCAGCAACAAGGCCAGAUUUGUUGCAUCAUGGACUCUUCAAUAUUAAGUUAACCAUGCAUUUCCUUUGGCUUGGUGAGUUUCUUUGGUUAGAACCAUGAGUGACAAGGUUGUGGCUGUUAGAGUUCUUUUGAGAUUGAUUUGGAACAGACCACAUUCAAAGGUUAUUGAUGCCAAAAUGUCAAGAUAACAUGGCAGGUGCACAAUGGGACUUGCUUGCGAUGGAAAACACCAAGAAAAAUCAACAACAAACAUGAAGAUUGGGUGAUGUAUGAAGAAAAAGGCCAGGCCAAGUUGGAUGGGCAAGAGCAAGUGAAAGUUGACUUUGGUCAAAGUUGAACAAAAGUCAACUGUUGACCAAAGUCAACAAAUGGUCAAAAUGUAUUUUCUUUUUGAUUUCUUUGUAAAUGGAUAUUCAAUGGAAAAUUAUGGGUGAAUUUAGGGUUUAAUGGAUUUGGGUUGACUUUGGUCAAAGUUGUCCAAAAAGUCAACUGUUGACCAAAGUCAACAGUUGGUCAAAAAGGCCAAUUUUGUAUUUUCUUGUAUGGAAUCACAUGUAAUGGUUUAAAAUGGAUGAAAUGGAUUGGAAUGGUUUGAAAAAAUGAUUGGAGAUGUUUUCAUAAUUGGCUUGAA
RNAcentral lists this long non-coding RNA (674 nucleotides) under Lathyrus oleraceus (garden pea). RNAcentral describes it as "Pisum sativum (pea) long non-coding RNA (PSAT_LNC027894)". Lineage: Eukaryota; Viridiplantae; Streptophyta; Magnoliopsida; Fabales; Fabaceae. The record is from RNAcentral.